AUUGAACGCUGGCGGCAGGCCUAACACAUGCAAGUCGAGCGGAUGAGUGGAGCUUGCUCCAUGAUUCAGCGGCGGACGGGUGAGUAAUGCCUAGGAAUCUGCCUGGUAGUGGGGGACAACGUUUCGAAAGGAACGCUAAUACCGCAUACGUCCUACGGGAGAAAGCAGGGGACCUUCGGGCCUUGCGCUAUCAGAUGAGCCUAGGUCGGAUUAGCUAGUUGGUGAGGUAAUGGCUCACCAAGGCGACGAUCCGUAACUGGUCUGAGAGGAUGAUCAGUCACACUGGAACUGAGACACGGUCCAGACUCCUACGGGAGGCAGCAGUGGGGAAUAUUGGACAAUGGGCGAAAGCCUGAUCCAGCCAUGCCGCGUGUGUGAAGAAGGUCUUCGGAUUGUAAA
RNAcentral lists this ribosomal RNA (399 nucleotides) under uncultured bacterium. RNAcentral describes it as "bacterial SSU rRNA". It matches the Rfam family "Bacterial small subunit ribosomal RNA", at positions 30 to 429 of the family's 1533-position model. The record is from RNAcentral.